RNAcentral lists this ribosomal RNA (253 nucleotides) under uncultured bacterium. Its description in RNAcentral is "partial 16S ribosomal RNA". It matches the Rfam family "Bacterial small subunit ribosomal RNA", at positions 524 to 776 of the family's 1533-position model. The record is from RNAcentral.
UACGUAGGAUGCAAGCGUUAUCCGGAAUGACUGGGCGUAAAGGGUGCGUAGGCGGCAUGUCAAGUUGGCAGCGUAAUUCCGGGGCUUAACUCCGGAACUACUGCCAAAACUGGCGGGCUGGAGUGCGGCAGGGGUAUGUGGAAUUCCUAGUGUAGCGGUGGAAUGCGUAGAUAUUAGGAGGAACACCGGUGGCGAAAGCGACAUACUGGGCCGUAACUGACGCUGAGGCACGAAAGCGUGGGGAGCAAACAGG